This 795-nucleotide ribosomal RNA is filed under the name uncultured bacterium. Its description in RNAcentral is "bacterial SSU rRNA". It matches the Rfam family "Bacterial small subunit ribosomal RNA", at positions 8 to 796 of the family's 1533-position model. The record is from RNAcentral.
AGAGUUUGAUCAUGGCUCAGAUUGAACGCUGGCGGCGUGCCUAACACAUGCAAGUCGAGCGGUAACAGGUGUAGCAAUACAUGCUGACGAGCGGCGAACGGGUGAGUAAUGCUUCGGAAUCUACCUUAUGGUGGGGAAUAACUAGCCGAAAGGUUAGCUAAUACCGCAUACGUCCUACGGGAGAAAGCAGGGGAUCGCAAGACCUUGCGCCAAAAGAUGAGCCGAAGCCGGAUUAGCUAGUUGGUAGGGUAACGGCCUACCAAGGCGACGAUCCGUAGCUGGUCUGAGAGGACGACCAGCCACACUGGGACUGAGACACGGCCCAGACUCCUACGGGAGGCAGCAGUGGGGAAUAUUGGACAAUGGGGGAAACCCUGAUCCAGCGACGCCGCGUGUGUGAAGAAGGCCUGCGGGUUGUAAAGCACUUUUAGUGGGGAUGAAAUGUGCAGGGAUAAUACCUCUGCAUUUUGACCUAACCCACAGAAAAAGCACCGGCUAACUCUGUGCCAGCAGCCGCGGUAAUACAGAGGGUGCAAGCGUUAAUCGGAAUUACUGGGCGUAAAGCGUGCGUAGACGGUUACAUAAGUCGGGUGUGAAAGCCCCGGGCUCAACCUGGGAAUUGCAUUCGAGACUGCGUAGCUAGGGUGCGGAAGAGGGAAGCGGAAUUUCCGGUGUAGCGGUGAAAUGCGUAGAUAUCGGAAGGAACACCAGUGGCGAAAGCGGCUUCCUGGUCCAGCACCGACGUUCAGGCACGAAAGCGUGGGGAGCAAACAGGAUUAGAUACCCUAGUAGUCC